RNAcentral lists this long non-coding RNA (4262 nucleotides) under Scleropages formosus (Asian bonytongue). Its description in RNAcentral is "lncRNA (ENSSFOG00015031958.1)". Lineage: Eukaryota; Metazoa; Chordata; Actinopteri; Osteoglossiformes; Osteoglossidae. The record is from RNAcentral.
GAUGAAAUUGAGAUUGUUGAUCCAUCGCAGUGUUUAGUAGGUGAAUCGACGGAACAUAAGAUGCACCCCGAGUUCGUGACACGACGACGUCACUAUAAAUAGAAAUGUCAGUGUGUGUGUGUGUGUGCGUGCGUGCGUGUACACUUCUUCUUGUUAUAAUAACCACAUGUCACACAUCAGUCUCCAGUCCGACCAGUCAGUUUCCUCUGCGCUUUUUUUGUUAACCAAUACUAUCUCGAGAGACACCGACUUCCUGGAGUCGCAUCUCGGACCCAGUCCGCAGUUCGUGCCCCAGCGAGAAGGAGAGAGAGAGAUAGCGAAGGGAGCGGGCACCUCGCGCGGCUUGCCUGUAGAACAUGGUUCCCCUGGUGGUCGCGGUGGCGCUUUCGCUGUUCUUUUUUCAUUUGUACCGGAGGAGGACUUUACACCGCGCUCGCCGGACUCAGGAGCGCGAGGAGCUCGAAAGGCGCGAAGGGCUCGCGGAGCGCGAGGAAGCAGCGCUCCUCUUUCAGGUUCCUGAGAAGAAGCAUUUCACAGGUUGCGACGAGGUUGAUACCAAAGGGCAGUACCCCAAAGUGAAGCAAUCCCUUCAGCAAGUGUUCGACUGCACCUACCUACAGGUUGCCCUGUACCUCUAUGGGAACUCUGUGCCCAGGGACAGCCAGCCCCUCCGUGACGCUCUGCAGCAGGAGUUUGACCUGGUCGUGCACAGUGUCAUCUUGGCCGUCAACAAUCUCAAUGUCGACGGGAUCAUUUUGGGCUGGAUCUGCAUCCUCACCCAGCACUUGCAUGAUGUCAAGCAGACAGGCAGGUGCAAGCUGUUCAGCUCUAGAGAGGAGGAGAUGUCAGUCCUCAGGGAAUAUUCGGGAGUUAUGGUGCGGAAGCUCAGCCCCCCAUCCCUGAGUGGACCGAAUCUCAACCACUGCAUCUUACAGGAGAUUGUAGCCUUCAAAGUGCUGGAGGUGCUGGUGGAUUUUCUUUCGAACCCAGACACUAUGAACCAGCUGGUGGUGAGCCAGCUUGGUGCUGAAUCUCCAGCAACCUCCACAAAGCCAGAAGGGGCUCAGGAAAGGAUAGUGCACGUACAGGAGACUGAAGAUCAAGAACCAAUGACUGAAGACACAAAAACCAUGCAGACCAGUGACUUAAAGGGCAAAAAGAAAAAGACCAGACUGCAGAGGAUGAAAUCUAAACUUAAGAAGAUAAUGAAGUCCAAGAAAGACAAAGGAAGUGACGACGAGCCGGAUAGAAUGUUCCGCAGUUGUAAUGCUAGCGAUGUGCUGGGCAGCGACGGUUGCAGUGGUGAUGACGACGACGAUGGUUGCAGUGGCGAUGGUGACAGCGAUGGCUCCACUGGUAGCAUCAGCGGCUCUUCUAGUGAGGACAGUGCCAAACAGAGUCCAGAUAGCUGCGCCGAUAACAUAUUGUGCCUGCUUUCAUACGAGAUUUGGCAGAUAAGUGUUUGGACAGCCUCAAUCUCACAGGUGGAGCAACAGGACAAGGAGCUGCUUUUUACAAUACACCUGGAGGGCAAAGUCGAGACAGAGGCCCUUCAGUGGGACACUGUGAAAUCCCAGAUGGAUUUUAAGAAGUUACAGUCUGACUUGCAGGCAGGAAACAUGAACAACCAAGAGGGCUCUUCUCACCUGCCCUCAGUAGCAGCGGUGCUGGAGAACACGGAAAGGAGCAUAGAUGAUGAAUUCAAAGAGGAGGCCAAAGCUACACUGAACUGUUUUCUGCAGGCGCUUCUUUCAGACAGCGAGAUGAGAAACAAGAGAGAUGUGUUUGUGUUCCUGUGCCCACUGGAUCAGCUGCUGGAGGAGCGGCAGAGGGAGGAGCCCCUCAGUGAGAUAUACAAACUGCUGCACACCCUGGCCUCAUUCUUUACUGAUGUAGAGCAAGAAGAGGAGCACAGUGGUGAGGUAGAGAGAACCCCUGAUGGCCCUAAAUGUCAGCUUGGGUCUGGGAGUGGUCCUCCGGACUCAGGUGAAGGAGGUGAUGGCUCUACUCCAGGUCAUCAUGAGCGCCUGAGGGCCCCCCUCACAGAGCCCAACAGAGCCGAGAGGCAGCCUGCUGAGAUGUCCAAAAGCACAAAUAGCUCUGGCUUUGAGUUCCGAGCACUUCCUCUUCCUGCUGGCAAUAUGGACCAGGCUCCAGACCAGGACACAGAGAGAAUUCCCCAGCGUCUUCACCGGCAUGUUGACCAAAGCCAAGGCAGGGACUGUAAGAGCUUUCCGCAGGACGGCAAACCAACUGAAAAGAGCAAGCUGCCUGCCAAGGUGCCUGUGGUACUCCCCAACCGAAAGGAAAAAGGGCAAAGGGACCCAGAGCAGGAAAAGGCACCUCAACAUGGUAAAAUGGACAUGUCCAGCAAGUACACUAAAGCCCUGACUGAUCUGCUGAAGGAAAUAUGUGAUCAUUCAACAGUUGUGAAAUUAUGUUGCUCUGAAUUCGUGCAGCGGCUUAUACAGAACACAGUGAAGGGCUACCUGAAGUGGCUGGACUUCACAGAGGACCAAGUUGCGUCUUUAAUUAGCAACAUCCGGGAGAAGCAGUGGCCCGAGGGGGUCCCAGAGGUCUUAGAACAACAAGAAACCGCCCGAGACAUGAGCGAUAUGGAGAAGGCUGAGCUGAAGGAGAAGGCCUGGGGACUCAUCCAUGCCAAACGUCCAAUGGCUAUGAAAUUUAUGAAGGCUGACUUGGAGAAAGUGUUUCAUAGCUUCCAGGAUGCAGAGCAGAACAAGAAGCUGGUUUAUAUGCUGUUUUCGUUUCUACUGCUGAAGAUGUUUCCCGAAGAAAGGGGUCUGACUGAUAAAGCCAAAGCACUUUUAAAAGUCCCUCCGUUAUUUGACUCAGUUUGAGUGUGGUCAAGAAGAUGGAUUUUUAUCAGCUAUCAGAGCUAUUUGUGUAUCCCGGAGGCAGCACUUUACAGUAACAGGGGUAACUGGUAGUGUAGUGCUUAGAGCUGUUGCUUUUAGACCCACAGAUUGCAGGUUCAAAUCUCUCUCUAGCUGUAGUACUCCUGAGCAAGGUACUUAAAUUACUCCUGUAAAAAUUACUCUGCUGUACAAAUGGGUUAAUACUUGUAGGUGGUUUAACAUUGCAUUGCAACAUUGCAUUUUGGAGAAAAGUGUCACCUAAAUGCAUUAUUGUAAUGAGCCACAAGAGAGGAACUGAAGCCCAUCAGGUUCCAAUACAAGGCUGAGAAGUCCUCCUGCACAAUCUUGAAGGUGCUUUCACAGAAUAUAUUAGUAGUGUGUAUGCUGUGAAACACACUACUAAUACAGAGAUUAAGCAAAAAACAUAUUUAUAUAUUCAUGUCUUCCAAAAGUACACCAUUGUUUAUUUUAAUAACCAAUGGAUAACAGGUAGUACCGGUAAUGGUACUGGGUGUGAAUCUGUUUAUUUUCCCCACCUGGUGUCCUCCCACAUUCCAGAGAGAUUUGGUUUAGUUAUAUCAGUAGCACUGAAUUCCCUUUGGUGUGUGUGUGUGUGUGUGUGUGUGUCUGUGUGUCAGAGAGUGAGAGAGAGCAAGAGAAAGAUAUAUAUUGUGCUGUGAUGGACUGGCAUCCCAUCCACACAGCACUCUACCAUGUGCCCUUUGUUUUAUAGGCUCCAGACCCCUGGGAGCCCCUUUAGACAUUGUAACAACAGAUCAAGGUCAAUUAUAUAAACUAAUGUUAUAGAGUUUAAAAGUUUUUUAUCCUCAACAAUUUUCAUUCAUUGAACUUACUGCAGUGACAUUAACUCUGAGAUUUAACUUUAUGUAAAUAUUUGGACAAGCGGUUCUGAGUGUGUGUGUGUGUGUGUGUGUAAAUAUUUUUUUUGCUUUAUCAUUAGCACAUUGAUUUGUGCUGCCUUUAUUCAUGAGGUACUGAGAGUACUGAGGAGAUAAAAUAUUGACAUGUGCAAUUUACAUCUGGAGUGCAAUGAACUUGGGUGUAUUUUCCAGUGGGACCUGAGACAUUGCUGGACAUUCAUAACAAUUUUAUUAUAGUAUUAAUGAGCACUUCAUACAUACCUAAAAAUAGUGUGACAGUAAUUCUCUUCAUUAAGGUCUUUAUAAGAACAUAAAAGACAGAACUGUAUUUUGACUGUACACACAUGGGGCAUUUUAAUAUUGCAUUAGUUAGGAUUUUCAUUGAGUUGGCUAUACAUGGUGGACCUCUUUUUUUAAAUAUAAUUUGAUUAAUUAAAAAAAGAAAAAAUAUAUAUGUUUAGUAUUCUGAAUAGUAAUGUAAACUUUGAACAAUAAAGUGACU